Molecule: long non-coding RNA, 989 nt
Filed under: Homo sapiens (human)
Lineage: Eukaryota; Metazoa; Chordata; Mammalia; Primates; Hominidae
Description: HSALNT0331189
Source: RNAcentral
UGAAUGCAUCUUGGCUUUCUAGAAACUGGAGAGACGGAGACAGCUGGUUGGCAUAAGAGCAUCGGCCUGAGAAUGUCAGAACUGAGGAAGAUUUGGUAGUGUGCCAAAGUGCUGGUUAUCACAGAGUUUCAUCUCAGCACAAAACUGCCCAGCUAAAGGAUGGUGAACUGAGUCCAGAAAUGAUAUCUUUUUGUUUUCUGUUUAUUCCUGGUGUUCCUGAGUACAAGGGGAUGGCCAAAAAAAUGAUGGUAUGGCAUGAUAGAAAGUGAAGACCUCUCUACACAUGACACUUUGUUAUGACUUCAUGGCGGUGUAGCAACAUGGAACAAGGUCCUACUCCUCCAGGAAGAUGAUGGAGAAUGCUGAAACUGUGCUCCAAGGCCACGAGAAGGAAAAGGCCUGGAUUUUCUCUUCACUCUCUUUCAGUCCUGCUGCCUCCCAGUUUCUCCAGGGGAGUUUUUGUCUCCCUAGGGCUUAAGGAGGAUCCUGGGCUCACGUGCUCAGGAUGUUUGAAAGAACCAAAAACAGGAAGGAGAAGAAACAGGCCCUGUUUGUUAGGAAGCAGAAAAACAAAGAUGCAGAGUGGUAUGGGAAGGAGAACACCUGCCUGAGAGACUGGGGUCUGAAUUCCAUCUCUGCCUUUCACUCCCCAUGUGACCUUGGGCUGGUCCAUGUACCACUGUAGACCUCAGUCUUCUCAUCUGCCCAAUGGGUAGGACAAUAUUACUUAAGGCUCCUUGUCCCAGUGUUAGGGAUAGAAAGGAUAAAAUACAUGUAAAGGAGCCUGUGAAGUGAUGAAUGACAGAUACACAUACAGCCUGCAGUGAGGAGUGAGCAAACACAGAAAUGUUUAUGGCCAGUGGCUGCUGUGCAGAUUAUGUGGGUAAAGAUCACAUUGUACCAUGAAUGGUCAGGAGUAUUGUUAUGUAGAGCUCUGGUUUUUCAUCAGAUUGUGCCUACAUAGAUGUGUAUAUACACACACACACACA